CUGACUUUUUCCUAAUUGUUUCUCUUUCUCUUUCACCUCUUUCUUAAUGUUGUGUUGUGUUUUGUUUUGCUUUGCUUUGCUUUCUCCUCCUAUUUUUUUUCCUGUUGCUUUUUUUUUUGUUGUUGUUCCACUUUUAUAUUGGCCCAGCCAACCUCAUCUCCAAAGGGAAAGCCAUGAAGCAAGCCCUGGGGCUGCACUGACAGCAGCAGGUCAGGACACCUGCUGGGAGAACAGAGUCCAUUAACCUGAAGAUGGGUGACUGGUUUGUUCUCAGCUGUCCAGCUACUGGAUGAGAAGAAAGGCCAGUAAAAGAAAACAACUGCAGACGUUGGAUUAUCUAUUGAGCUGCCCUGGCCUUUCCCUGCUGCAGAACAGGUCUUCUACUGGUGCAGAAAGAGCUGGAGCUGCGCUUGCCUCUCCUCUCUAGGCAAAUCACCAAGAAAGGAGGAGAAUAAAAAGAAAUAAAGGAGGAGAAGGGAAGAGCGGCAGAUAAAAGGAGGGAAAAAUGAGAGGAAAAUGAAGACAAAAAAUGGAAGAGGAAGAAAGGAAGGAGGUAGUGAAGAGAAUAAAGGAGAGGUGAAGCAAGAAGACAAAAGAAGAAAAAUAAAAGGAAGAGAAAAAAUGGAAAAGACAAAAGAAAGCAAACAGAAGAAAGAAAAAUAAAAGAAAGAAUGAGAGAAGGAAGUAAAAAAUGUUGUGAGUACAGUAAGCAUGGCAAAAGAGAAGCAGGGCUUUUUGGAUGCAAAUAUGAAAAUAUCGAGGGAUUCAACACAAACAUCUCAUUACCCCAAAUUAAGUCAAUACAACUAUAAUAGAAGAAAGAUCAGAGAGAAUGGAAUUGUAGUUGCAAUAAUGCUGGAGCCACACAGAAAAAGGCUUUGAACAGGGGUACACAAAACCAGAAAAAAUAAAGAAGGAAAAAAAACCUCUCCCACACAUUAUUUGUUGUUUCUACUUCUGUUGGCUUCUUUCCUCGGGGGAAAAUAGAAAUACAAUACCAGACAUUUUAUAUACAUGUAUAUAUGUGUAGAGAGGAGAGUCUUCUAGCAAAUCUCUUUAAAAACAAAGGGUGCGGGGUAAGUGCGACCAAGGAGCAGCGUGGGGGAAGGUGUGGGGAUGCAUGCAGAUAGGGGGUUUUGGGCAGAGGGAGAGGUGUGGGGCUCUCCUGCCCACUGCAGCCCCGCAGCCGGCAGGC
Molecule: long non-coding RNA, 1195 nt
Organism: Gallus gallus (chicken)
Lineage: Eukaryota; Metazoa; Chordata; Aves; Galliformes; Phasianidae
Source: Ensembl